This 253-nucleotide ribosomal RNA is filed under the name uncultured bacterium. RNAcentral's name for it is "partial 16S ribosomal RNA". It matches the Rfam family "Bacterial small subunit ribosomal RNA", at positions 524 to 776 of the family's 1533-position model. The record is from RNAcentral.
GACGAACCGAGCGAACGUUGUUCGGAAUCACUGGGCUUAAAGGGCGCGUAGGCGGGCUGCCGCGUCCGGGGUGAAAUCCCACGGCUCAACCGUGGAACGGCCCCGGGUACGGGCGGACUCGAGGGGGGUAGGGGCGUGCGGAACUGUAGGUGGAGCGGUGAAAUGCGUUGAUAUCUACAGGAACUCCGGUGGCGAAGGCGGCGUGCUGGAUCUCUUCUGACGCUGAGGCGCGAAAGCUAGGGGAGCAAACGGG